Molecule: ribosomal RNA, 432 nt
Filed under: uncultured bacterium
Lineage: Bacteria
Description: partial 16S ribosomal RNA
Rfam family: Bacterial small subunit ribosomal RNA
Source: RNAcentral
ACGCACGCUGGCGGCAGGCCUAACCCCUGCCAGUCGAGCGGACCUUUCGGGGUCAGCGGCGGACGGGUGAGUAACGCGUGGGAAUAUGCCCUUCUCUACGGAAUAGUCCUGGGAAACUGGGGGUAAUACCGUAUACGCCCUUUGGGGGAAAGAUUUAUCGGGGAAGGAUUAGCCCGCGUUGGAUUAGGUAGUUGGUGGGGUAAUGGCCUACCAAGCCGACGAUCCAUAGCUGGUUUGAGAGGAUGAUCAGCCACACUGGGACUGAGACACGGCCCAGACUCCUACGGGAGGCAGCAGUGGGGAAUCUUAGACAAUGGGGGCAACCCUGAUCUAGCCAUGCCGCGUGAGUGAUGAAGGCCUUAGGGUUGUAAAGCUCUUUCAGCUGGGAAGAUAAUGACGGUACCAGCAGAAGAAGCCCCGGCUAACUCCGUG